AGCGAACGCUGGCGGCAGGCUUAACACAUGCAAGUCGAGCGGGCACUUCGGUGUCAGCGGCAGACGGGGGAGUAACACGUGGGAACGUACCCUUUGGUUCGGAAUAACGCUGGGAAACUAGCGCUAAUACCGGAUACGCCCUUAUGGGGAAAGGCUUGCUGCCGAAGGAUCGGCCCGCGUCUGAUUAGCUAGUUGGUUGGGUAAUGGCCUACCAAGGCGACGAUCAGUAGCUGGUCUGAGAGGCUGAUCAGCCACACUGGGACUGAGACACGGCCCAGACUCCUACGGGAGGCAGCAGUGGGGAAUAUUGGACAAUGGGCGCAGGCCUGAUCCAGCCAUGCCGCGUGAGUGAUGAAGGCCUUAGGGUUGUAAAGCUCUUUUGUCCGGGACGAUAAUGACGGUACCGGAAGAAUAAGCCCCGGCUAACUUCGUG
RNAcentral lists this ribosomal RNA (433 nucleotides) under uncultured bacterium. Its description in RNAcentral is "partial 16S ribosomal RNA". It matches the Rfam family "Bacterial small subunit ribosomal RNA", at positions 29 to 507 of the family's 1533-position model. The record is from RNAcentral.